This 253-nucleotide ribosomal RNA is filed under the name uncultured bacterium. RNAcentral describes it as "partial 16S ribosomal RNA". It matches the Rfam family "Bacterial small subunit ribosomal RNA", at positions 524 to 776 of the family's 1533-position model. The record is from RNAcentral.
UACGUGGGGUGCAAGCGUUGUCCGGAAUUAUUGGGCGUAAAGAGCUCGUAGGCGGUCUGUUGCGUCGGCUGUGAAAACUCGAGGCUCAACCUCGGGCUUGCAGUGGGUACGGGCAGACUAGAGUGCGGUAGGGGAGACUGGAAUUCCUGGUGUAGCGGUGGAAUGCGCAGAUAUCAGGAGGAACACCGAUGGCGAAGGCAGGUCUCUGGGCCGCAACUGACGCUGAGGAGCGAAAGCAUGGGGAGCGAACAGG